Bos taurus (domestic cattle) is the source of this 331-nucleotide long non-coding RNA. NCBI's taxonomy places the organism in Eukaryota, Metazoa, Chordata, Mammalia, Artiodactyla, Bovidae. The record is from Ensembl.
UGACACCACUGUAACAGACUUUUCUGUCUUUAUAACCAAAUUCACAACUCGUUAUGGCAUUUAUAUUUGAACAGAUCUUUCCAGCAAAUGAGACAUUAUUAUGCUUCUCACAAAUACGGCUUAUUGAAAUCAGAAGGAGACAUUCUUUUCAAGAUGCUUAUACUCCGCAGAGGGAAAGAAAACUGAUCCAUGAAGUUGCUAUUUGCAUAAAACACAGAAGCAUCUGUCAUAGACUCCUUUCUGGUUGAGUCUGGCAUCCAGGGAUCACUCAGCUGGUCUGCCUCAGCACUGGGCUCCCAUGAAGGCAAAGGGUCCCCAGUGAGGACUGCAU